Molecule: long non-coding RNA, 542 nt
Filed under: Brassica napus (rape)
Lineage: Eukaryota; Viridiplantae; Streptophyta; Magnoliopsida; Brassicales; Brassicaceae
Description: long non-coding RNA (BNAP_LNC022199)
Source: RNAcentral
CAGCAACACUUCAAGUUUUACGCACACUUCACCACACCUUCUUGAACUCUUUUAUAGAACCGGUUUAGUGUCUCCCCCUUUCACCGGACUUCAUGCCAUCUUGAAAGGCUAGGAGCGACCUGAUCCUCUCCAUUGAGUCUCCAAGUAAGGUACCUGAUACAUUAUUCCACAAGUGUAUCAGUACUUAUCAAGUAACAUAACUCAAUCAAUUCAUGCUUAUAGACCGUCUUAGUAAGACUAGUAUUCCUUAUAGAUUACUAGAUAUGUUGCCGUCUAGUAAAACUUGUAUUCCUAAUAGAUUACAAGAUAUGAUUGAAAAUGAUGAAUUGAAAUUGAGUACGGGGAAACUUCCCUUUUGUUUUGGUGAGGAGUGACUGGACCGGCCUGAGUCUUCCCUUCUCUCGUGGCUUCUUGCCAUCUCCAUCAGGUUAGACAUGCCUAGCUCCUUUUGCUUUGGAGAGGAGUGGCUGCUCUUCACACACCACUUGAGUCCCUCACUUUCUGAGCUUAUCAGCUCCUUCUCUUAUCAUGCAAGCUCACCA